Molecule: small RNA, 773 nt
Filed under: Pan troglodytes (chimpanzee)
Lineage: Eukaryota; Metazoa; Chordata; Mammalia; Primates; Hominidae
Description: processed transcript
Source: RNAcentral
GUGCUGUCAGCGGCAUGCCUGCCUUCUGCAAGCCCCUCUUCCCUGUUCCCCAGCCCGCACUUCCAAUGAGCUGUGGGCCAGGAAACCAGCCCGUCACACUUGUCCACGCUGCGUUUAAAGCGGGAGGAAGGAGGACCCAAUGCAGGGCCCGAAAGGUCCACUGACCUCCAGGACGUAGAGGUUGAUGAUCCGGGCAGGUGGCCUUCAGCGAGGGAGCACGUCAAAAGGCUGUGGGCCGUGCAGACAGCUGGGGGACACUGUCCCGGGUGUGACCUUGGGCCACACAGCAGGGUGGUGGACUUGCUCCUAGAAUUGGGCUCCAGGGCUGAAGCCAGCCCCUCUGAUCUGGCACUGGCCGGCUCCAUUCACCCUUUUUGGGGCUUACUGCCGCAGAGACUUCCUGCGAGGAGAGCUGGACCCAAGACGCCAGAGUUCCGGGGGCACUGAGUGCUGUGUGGCACCCGGGCCAGGAGAAACAUGUGCCAGAGGGCAGGCGUGGGCUCUCCGGGGAGUCUCUGCAUAGACUUUCUAGCCCAGAGGUUCAGGUGAUGGACCAGGGACUGGCCGCUUUGUGACACCGAGGACGGUUGAUAAAGUGGAUUCUCGAGGGGAAGCUGCAUCCACACAGAGGCUAGGACGUGAAUGUGCAUCACAGCUCUAUCUGUGGCCCCCAAAGGCUGGGUGCCAGCUGCCUGUCAGCAGGGAGCGUAUCACCGUGGCACAUCCAUGCCGUGGGGGUCACUCAGCAGCCACGGAUGCGCCCUGGGUGCUGU